This 496-nucleotide ribosomal RNA is filed under the name uncultured bacterium. Its description in RNAcentral is "partial 16S ribosomal RNA". It matches the Rfam family "Bacterial small subunit ribosomal RNA", at positions 29 to 507 of the family's 1533-position model. The record is from RNAcentral.
AUGAACGCUGGCGGCGUGCCUAAUACAUGCAAGUCGAGCGAACGGGCGAGAAGCUUGCUUCUCUGAUGUUAGCGGCGGACGGGUGAGUAACACGUGGAUAACCUACCUAUAAGACUGGGAUAACUUCGGGAAACCGGAGCUAAUACCGGAUAAUAUUUUGAACCGCAUGGUUCAAAAGUGAAAGACGGUCUUGCUGUCACUUAUAGAUGGAUCCGCGCUGCAUUAGCUAGUUGGUAAGGUAACGGCUUACCAAGGCAACGAUGCAUAGCCGACCUGAGAGGGGGAUCGGCCACACUGGAACUGAGACACGGUCCAGACUCCUACGGGAGGCAGCAGUAGGGAAUCUUCCGCAAUGGGCGAAAGCCUGACGGAGCAACGCCGCGUGAGUGAUGAAGGUCUUCGGAUCGUAAAACUCUGUUAUUAGGGAAGAACAUAUGUGUAAGUAACUGUGCACAUCUUGACGGUACCUAAUCAGAAAGCCACGGCUAACUACGUG